Molecule: RNA transcript, 7073 nt
Organism: Vidua macroura (Pin-tailed whydah)
Lineage: Eukaryota; Metazoa; Chordata; Aves; Passeriformes; Viduidae
Gene: SAAL1
Gene name: serum amyloid A like 1
Exons: 14
Source: RefSeq, a predicted model, not a curated record
CACCUCGCUGCCCCCGCACGGCUGUGGGGCCACCAUGGACCGCAACCCGUCGCCGCCGUGCAAUGAUGCGGAGGAGGAGGAGGGGGACGCGGUGGGGAACACGGUGUACAGCAAGCACUGGCUCUUCAGCGUCCUCACCCGCCUCGUCGAGGUGAUCGCCCCCGCGGAGCCGGAUCCCGCCGCCAACCCCGAGGGAGCCCGGACGGAGCUGGACGAGGAGAUGGAGAAUGACAUUUGCAAGGUGUGGGACAUGUCGAUGGACGAGGAUGUUGCUUUAUUUCUUCAGGAGUUCAACGCCCCCGAUAUAUUCAUGGGAGUUUUUGCCAAGUCCAAAUGCCCUCGCCUAACUGAAAUCUGUGUGGGAAUAUUAGGGAAUAUGGCCUGUUUCCAGGAUAUCUGCAUGUCCAUUAGCAAAGAUGAGAAUCUUGGCCAAGUGUUACUGCAACGUUUGUGUGAUUCAGAUUCCCCAACUCUUCUGGAAACAAGCAGGUUGUUGUUAACUUGCCUCUCCCAGCCUGAGGUGGCCAGUGUCUGGGUGGAGAGGAUCCGAGAAAACCCUUCUGUGUAUGACUGUGUUUGCUUUAUCAUGUCCAGUUCUACAAAUGUUGAAUUGCUGGUGAAAGUGGGUGAAGUGGUGGACAAACUCUUUGAUCUGGAUGAAGAGCUGAUGUUAAACUGGAUCAAAAAUGGCACUUGUCACUCUGUGGGACCAUCUGUAGAUGAUUCUCCUGAAGAACUUCCAGAGUUUAAGAUUGUGCCUUGUAUACUUGAAGCAGCCAAGCAAGUCCGAUCAGAUAACCCAGAAGGACUGGAUGUUUAUAUGCAUAUCCUGCAGCUCCUGACCACAGUGGAUGAGGGUAUCCAGGCUAUUGUGCAGGCUCCUGAUGGAGGAAAAGAGACUUGGAGUUUGCUUUAUGACCUCGUUUGCCAGGAGCUUUGCCAGCCAGAUGAUCCACCGAUCAUUGUGCAGGAGCAGAAGACUGUGCUGGCCUCUAUUUUGUCCGUGCUGUCUGCUAUGUUUGCUUCACAGACAGAGCAGGAGUAUACCAGGAUGAGGAAAAAUAUGCCACUGAUUGGGAGCUUGAUUCGUAUUUUACAAUACAUGGAGGGCUGUGGGAAGAGAGCUGUUGAUAACUCCAAGGAGUCUGAGCAAGAGGAGACUGGAAGGACUGAUGUAAAUGAGGAAGAUUUCCAUUUAAAAAUUUUGAAGGAUAUUUGCUGUGAAUUGCUUUCCAAUAUGCUUCAAGAACUAACCAAGGAGAAUACCUUAGAAGGACUGCACCAAGGACACCUGAAUGAACAGACAUGUUCCUGUGCUUUUCAGAACCUCUUACCUCUGUAUUCUGCUUCGGUGGAGAGUUUCCUUGAAGUCCUGCGUGAGGCUGAUCAGACACUUGCUGACAAUCUAGAAAAAUGUUUCCCAAGCCUGAAGGCUCACACCUAAGAAUAUCCUGUGUCUGCAUGCAAUGGACUGACAUGUUCUGAGUCUGAAGAGACAGCACAGCAGCACAUCAACUUCACUGUUUCUGUAAAUGAGAGUGGAAAACAAUUGUCCUUUAUUAGGUUUGAGAUGUAAAAGCAAAUGGGAACCAGAGCAUAGAGAAUAAUUGAAUAUCACAUACGUGCAUUCCCUGGCUCUCCAGGUUUUACAGACUUAAGUGUUGUGCUGGGCCAUGUUGUGUUACCAGAGUUACCUGGACAUGUGGUAAAAUACCGUAUGUGUAUAUGUACAUAUAACCUUUCCAUCCCAAAUUCCAGUUUUCAAAACCAGUGCAAUUCAAUCAUUUCCCUGCCAGCAGCAUCUUAGUUGUCAGCAGGGAAAUUUGGUAUUGCAAAUACCUGACUUGUUUUGCCAAAAAGAAUUGCCAUGGUUUAUAUCAAUUUUUGUAUGCUGUGUUUAUUGGAGAAAACUGGUGACUGUGAAUCAGAUGACACCAUUUUUCAUACUACUUUGACAGUUUUGGGAUAUUUUCUUAAACCUACAGAUUUGUAAUAAAGCUUCUUUAAAAAAAAAAAAAAAAAACAACAAAACCUGUAUGCUUUCCUUUAUUCCAGUGUCAAUUAAAUUUGUUUUCUGAGCCACUGGAAAUGUCUGUUACUCUUAAGUGUGUCAGUUGUAAGAGGAAAAUCAAACCUCUUCAUAAUGUCUGUGUGCUGUAAAAUAUGUUUUCCUUCAUUGAAUAUUUAUUUUAACUCUUGCUUUUUUUGCAUAGUCAUUUUUAUGGUCUGGAAGUUAAUGUGUGUCUCAUCCCAUAAACAUUUUUUAAGCUUAGUUUGUCUCCAGCUGUAUCGUGUCUUCCACCAUAGUGAAGAAUUAUUUCUGGUGUGCAUCUCCUGAAAUUUGUGGUAGUUGAAAUUCUGCAGUAGCCAUGUAAUGUAAUGUAGAAAAAAAAAAGCUGAGACAAGAUCUGUUGUUUUAUUUUGUUCCUCCUCCUUUUCAAUACACCAAUAUCCAGUGUUGGCUGAUGAACUGUUACAUGUUACUGAUAUCUGGUGCCUGUCAUGCGGCAACCCAGGUGGGUCCUAUCCUCCUGCUCAUCUGCAACAGAAGGAGCUGCAGACAUGGUCAGUCAGCCUUGCUUCAGCAGAAUGGUAAUUCAGGUAUGCUGGGAAUUUUUAUCCUUGAUAACCACGGUGAAUUGGAGAUUGGGAUUCCCUCUUGGCCUUUUGCAGUGGGUGUGGUGCUGCCUUGGGGAGUGAGGCUGGUGCCAGAGUGAAUGCAAGGUGACUGUGCUGUGUUUGUGGGGUUCAGAGAGGGAAGAAAUUAUUUGUGAGGGUAGGUGAAUGAUGUGUUUGGAACUGGUGCACGUGUGUUUCACCAUCCUGCCAGCAGGGACCUCCCUUGGCCUGUGCUUCAUGAGCAGCAUGUGUUUGGGGUUUUGGUGGGGUUGGGCUUUUUCUGGGAGGGGCAGGGAGGUGUUUGCAUUUUGAUUUUAGUAUUUUUUUUAAUUCCCUCUCCUAGACCUGUUUUGGCACCCACUGAGCUCUCUAGGCCAGUUGAUUCAGAAUGACUAUCUGUCUGACUACAAGCAGUGCUCACCAUUUACUUUUCAUUUUGUUGGCGAUGAUGAUGAAAUUCAUGUGCUCUGCCAAAGUCAAUGAGAAAGGAAGAACCUGCUACACCUGGGGCAAGGACCAGUCUACUGUGAUGUUAUACAACUUCCCAAAAGCCCUUCAUGUGAAGACAAGCCCAGGCAGCCAUGUGCCUCAGCUCUGCAAUGAGAGAAGCCCCUCAGUCAGAGCUGACAGGCUGUGAGCUGAGCGAACCUGACAUCACCAGCAUGGCUAAACUAACCAGGUUAUUGCCAACAGCUAUCCACAGAGGUUUUGCAAUGGGAAAUACUGCUCCUACACGUCCUUUUGUUUCCCUUCCUGAUUCACUUUUGCAAAAAGAAACCCAGUUUUAUAAUGCAAGGAGCUGACAUCUAAUAUAGGUAAGAGAAUGGGUUUGCUUCUGAGUUGUUACUGUGGAGAAAAUGAAUGAACGCAGGCAAAACCCAAUGUGGCUCCAUUUCUCUUUCUCCCAGGUCAUUGCAUGUGAGCUGCAUGUCUUAGUGAUGGCUCAGUAAAGUCUGGGAGCUAAAUUUCAUACAAAAGCUACUGUGAAAGAGUUCGCAAAGAAAAGGUAACAGUGGUAGGAGGCUGUGAAGAGAAGACAGCAAUAGUAGAGAAAGAGAAACAAUGAAGAAGAGAUACUGGAGAAAGAAGGAAAAUAGGGGAAAACGUGGAAGAAUCCUGACGAAGAGGAUAAAUAAUAAGUGUGAUGUUGAAGGAGAAAGGUAUUGCAUAUCAGUAAUUAUGUUAGCAUUCUAGAUCUGUCCAGGUGGAAUAGCUGGUGUGCAGUCACCUAUCAAAAGCCUAACACUGAUUACAUUUUCUAUUUUCAAAGCUGAAUUUCCUUUGCAGUUUCUCCUGAUGUAAUGGAAAUGAGACAAGCCUAAGGUGAAUACGAGGUCUUAAAAACCACAGCAGGUGGGCUAAUGAGUAUUGCUGGAUUUUUUUUAAAUUUCUUUUUUUAAUUCACCCACUCUCCGUCCUUGUUUUUUGCUGGCUGGGUGAGGCAUCAGGGAGCCAAAUCAUGAUGGAGGUGAGGCAGAGUCACCUUGCCUAGCAUAGGUCUUGAGUGUGACAGAGGCAAGAUGUGAAAGCAGAGUCCUGGUCUGCAGCAGCCUGCAGCCUGCUCCUGGCACAGGCACAGUAACUGCUUGCAUAUUUGUGCCCAUGGUAACUUAAGUCCCAUGUUGACACUUCCCCAAUUUGUGUCCCUUCAUUCAGUUUCCAAGGAAAUCUUAGAAAAGCAAAUGCACCUUGGUAUUCUGUGUUGCAAUAGUGGCAGUUAUUUAUUCUGUGCUUUAGGCUAUGCAAACUUCAUUUUAAUUUUGCAGUGAGUUUGUAUCAAUAUUAUUUUUGUUGUUAUGUAUAUAAUUUUUGGUGACAGCUCUGUUUAAAGAAGACGUAACUUUAACAAGCCAUCUGUUAACCUUACAUAGAAAGGAAAUGCUUUUGUCAAUGAUUCCAAUGAAAUCAGAAAAAUAAUUUCCUGGCCUCCAGUAGCAGACCAGUUGUCCUAUCUUCUGUCAAUAGGAGGAUAUUGAAACAUGCAGGAAAUACGUGCACACUUUUAUCCUGCCCUGCAAUACAGCCACAGAGCUGCAUUAUAAUUAGCCAGUGAUAUCAGAAAGUUUUAUUUUCCAUUAAAACUUCUUUGUAGUGCACAAACUCUUAUUGAACAUCAGAGAGUUUCCUCAGUCAGGUGGGAAGGCUGGACACAGGAACCAUGGGAAGACAUUUUGAGUUUAUGCUAGCCUGAUUAAUAAAGAUUUUGAUGUAAUAAGUUAAGAGAGUAGAAAAGAGGGACAAACACUUCAGAUUAGGUGAGAAUAAAAAAAACCUGCAAAAUUACUCCAUUUUGUCAUUUGGGAUGAAGCCAUAACAAUGGCUGAAAGGAAGGAAGAGCUGUAGUGGACAGAAAAGGCUGGAAUAAUAGGAAAGAGAAAAAUAAAUGGAGAAGACAUGGAAGAGCAAGGGAGGAGUCUGGUUUUGUGAGGUUAGUAGAUAGAAGACAUUUAUGAGUAGAAAAAAGAAACACAGGAAAUUGCCUAUGAGGUGACAAAUGGUAUAGGUCCAAGGAAAGUCUUUGAGAGACAUAAGUGUAUUCGCACUGUGUAGUGUGAGCUGCUCUCAUAGGAAAGUCCCAAGACCAAAUGAAGGGAAGAUUUCUCCUAUUCCUUCUUCCCUUAUUGGAGAGGUUCUCACAACUCUUAAACGAAAAUGGGAGAUAGAUGCAAAAUAUACUGGCAUUGAACUGCUCUGGAGAGGGGUUGGAGUUGUCCAGGCUAAUUCCUGCACAGACCAUGUGCUUAUGGACACAAGCAAGAGCAGCCAGGGUAACUCUGAGAGGCAAACUUCUUGCAGUUUUUCUGCUUCUCCAGCCUUUCUGGACAGCAGAGCAGGUGGGUGAGGACAGCAUCCAGCAGUGUGUCCGUGCACAUGUGCUUUUGAGCCCACUCUGCUCGCUUCCCUCUUGUCCAGCACUCAGUGAUGAACAUAAAGAUCAGAACCAGAUCUUUUAUUGCAGCGUUAUCAGUAACUUUAACCAACAGAUCUGGAGUCAACCUCCACGAUGGAAGUAUUGAAAAUAACCACAGUGCUACUCUACAACUGUCAGCUUUUGCAUGAGAAGAACUCUUAAUGCUGCAGUGUCACCUGGGAGGCAGACUUAUUUCUUGUCUGCAGUGUGAAGGUUGAGGGUGCUUUGUUGGAAGAACCUGCUGAAUGUGACACAGCAUGAUGUGAUUGCCCACACAGGGUAAAAGAAAUGCUGUCAUGAUUUAAUUAAUCAGUUCUGAUCUACUGAUCCCUGAGUUUACUUAGACUUGAAAGAAGUAAAUAUAACUAAAUUAAACAAAGUUCUUUCCUUUCCGCACAUGCUCUGGGCCCUAUUGCGUCUUCCAUGAGAUAACAAAAAGCUUAUGAAUAACAGGCACAGUGGUCUUUGUUGCUGUUGUCAUUGACUUAAUGCAGAAGGCUGGCAGGAGGAAUAUUAUGCACAGGUGCAGUAUGCAUGGCAUCAGAAGAAGAUGACACAUGGGUGUUUGAAAUUAGUUUUUAAAAUUUGAUUUACAGUGUUAGGUUGGGAAAGGAUAAAAAUGUCAAGGUUUCAGUGUUGUCUGUUGCAGGUCAAGGUAAUUUUGACUAAAUGUGGUAGUGUUUGAGUUGAAACCUUAUCAAAACAGAGGAAAGAGGUAGAAGAAGUUCAAAUUCAGCUCUUGGUUUAUCCAAAACUACUGUGGCAGGUAGUUUUUGUUUGUAACUGCCUAAAGCUGUGCAAGCCCUAGGUGCCUUGGUGUGAUUCCACAGCAGGUCUGGAUGGUUUUCCACCAACCAGAGGUGGUGCCUGUUCAGUUGUACUGCUCAGCGCCUGCCUGGGUGGCUUUGAGAGCACACUCAAAUUUACAGUGGUUUCUUUGGCCACAGCCACUGUGUAAAAGCAUAUCCUUGUCCAGUUGUGGGCUUCCUACCUCCUCUCACACUGAGCUGUUUCUGCCAGCAGCUGGGACCUGCCCUCUCCAAGCACCACAUCUUCAUUACUAGUCUUGUGUCUGUACUGUAGAGGUUUGUGGAGGGAGAUGUGGCUUUGGGGAAGGCAGUUCCCUUAUAUUCUACUGCAUGUACUUAUGUCAUGUGUUUGUCAUUCACAAAUGACCCAGCAUGUAGCUGUGCAGAUGUCAUUUAUGGUGUGCUAUGCCAAAUUUACCAGAACAUACCUGGUAACUCCAUUUACCAUGUGGUUUUUCGGGUAAAUUUACCCCUGUCUUUCAGGAAGUUAGUUCUAGAUUGUAUUUUUUAAUUGUUUGUACUAAUGGGGUAGGAGAAAGUGGGUGGGGUGAAGAAGCUUAAUAAAAAUGAGAAAUACCCACUCUAUUUAACCCCCUUUGUUCUCUGGAGUAAUUCUCACAUCAAUCAAAGCUAACAUUGAUUAACACAACUUGUUCUUAACUAAAAUUAGAUUCAAAAAUAAGCAAAUAUUUUGUCCAUGUAGUUUGCCAGAUAUUAAAGAUUAGUUUGACUCA